Molecule: ribosomal RNA, 468 nt
Filed under: uncultured bacterium
Lineage: Bacteria
Description: partial 16S ribosomal RNA
Rfam family: Bacterial small subunit ribosomal RNA
Source: RNAcentral
GACGAACGCUGGCGGCGUGCUUAACACAUGCAAGUCGAACGGAAAGGCCCUGCUUUUGUGGGGUGCUCGAGUGGCGAACGGGUGAGUAACACGUGAGUAACCUGCCCUGGACUUUGGGAUAACUUCAGGAAACUGGGGCUAAUACCGGAUAGGAGCUCCUGCUGCAGGGUGGGGGUUGGAAAGUUUCGGCGGAUGGGGAUGGACUCGCGGCUUAUCAGCUUGUUGGUGGGGUAGUGGCUUACCAAGGCUUUGACAGGUGGCCGGCCUGGGAGGGUGACCGGCCACAUUGGGACUGAGAUACGGCCCAGACUCCUACGGGAGGCAGCAGUGGGGAGUAUUGCACAAUGGGCGGAAGCCUGAUGCAGCAACGCCGCGUGCGGGAUGACGGCCUUCGGGUUGUAAACCGCUUUCGCCUGUGACGAAGCGUGAGUGACGGUAAUGGGUAAAGAAGCACCGGCUAACUACGUG